CUGGAAAAGGAUCAUU
This 16-nucleotide ribosomal RNA is filed under the name Nesobasis sp. 11 JHS-2009. RNAcentral's name for it is "partial 18S ribosomal RNA". Lineage: Eukaryota; Metazoa; Arthropoda; Insecta; Odonata; Coenagrionidae. The record is from RNAcentral.